AUGGUGUGCUUGUCUGACAGACAGGGCAGCUGAGGGGAAUAAGUCUCUGCAGCGUUGUAGUGAAGAGAGAAUACGGGACAACUGCAGGACCACAGCUCAGCCAAGAGCUCCCUUGCAGCUGAGUUGGCCAUAUGACUGACAGCAAGCCCUGGAAUGCAGCCAGAAGUGAUGGAAGCCUCUUUCACACCAUGCUCCUAAAAUAUUCCAAGAAAUUUUCCAAACCCACUCUUUUUAGUCUGUGCAUCUGGAAGUGAAAGUUUUAGAAAGGGUAAAGUCACUUAAUGGAAAGGGCCCAGAUCUAGCCCCUCGGAGCCAAGCUGUUCAACUAGAAAUUCUGCAUUAGUAUUUGCGGCCCCAGUAAAAAAAAAAAGUCCCACAAAGAUGUAGGAUCUCACUUUGCCUGCAUUAAUUCCCUGUCCUUUGCGCAAUUUCUCCUCUCUUGGAAGGCAGAGGCAGCUUCUGAUUUUGAUCACUUCAUGUCCAGUAGGACCUCCUGCUUCAGACUCUAAGCUUCUGGAGAACAGGAACUGCAUCUUUUCUAUUUCACAUACCCAACUCCUCACACAAUGCAUGAUGCAAGUGGGAA
Molecule: long non-coding RNA, 586 nt
Filed under: Pan troglodytes (chimpanzee)
Lineage: Eukaryota; Metazoa; Chordata; Mammalia; Primates; Hominidae
Description: lincRNA
Source: RNAcentral